GGAGAGGUGGCAGAGUGGUCGAUUGCGGCAGACUCGAAAUCUGUUGAACUCGCAAGAGUUCCGGGGGUUCGAAUCCCUCCCUCUCCGCCA
RNAcentral lists this transfer RNA (90 nucleotides) under Burkholderiales bacterium. RNAcentral describes it as "tRNA-Ser". It matches the Rfam family "tRNA". Rfam says of the family: Transfer RNA (tRNA) molecules are approximately 80 nucleotides in length. Their secondary structure includes four short double-helical elements and three loops (D, anti-codon, and T loops). RNAcentral also lists the same sequence under 2 other names. The record is from RNAcentral. Lineage: Bacteria; Pseudomonadati; Pseudomonadota; Betaproteobacteria; Burkholderiales.